This 399-nucleotide transfer-messenger RNA is filed under the name Bacteroidales. RNAcentral's name for it is "Cryptobacteroides sp015060395 Standard tmRNA". It matches the Rfam family "transfer-messenger RNA". From Rfam's summary of the family: Bacterial tmRNA, also known as 10Sa RNA or SsrA, is named for its dual tRNA and mRNA-like properties. Lineage: Bacteria; Pseudomonadati; Bacteroidota; Bacteroidia. RNAcentral also lists the same sequence under 1 other name. The record is from RNAcentral.
GGGGAUGUUUUGGUUUUGACAGCAUCAGACAUUGGACGGUAAGCACGUCGGGCGUGGGAAGUUUGCCCGUUAAUCUCAGCUUUCGAACUUAUAGUUGGCAACAACUCUUAUGCACUCGCUGCGUAGUCUGCUAAGCACACUACCUUAAUCCGCGACGCCAAGGCUGCGUCGCCGACGAGUAUCCCUCCAGCCUUUAGGCCGGUUAUGGCUGGAAUCCGGGGUAUCAUUCAAACCGGAUGCUCGGAGUGACUCCUUUAAGCUCCGCUAAGAUUCAGAGGAUAAGCCUUGGGUAGCCUGUCUGACGGCAGCCCCUGGACGAAAACCAAAGCCAGACUAAGCGUGUAGAAAGCCGCCUGGUGCGGUGUUUGGACGGCGGUUCGAGUCCGCCCAUCUCCACAA